Oncorhynchus tshawytscha (Chinook salmon) is the source of this 726-nucleotide long non-coding RNA. RefSeq lists it as uncharacterized. The transcript has 2 exons. NCBI's taxonomy places the organism in Eukaryota, Metazoa, Chordata, Actinopteri, Salmoniformes, Salmonidae. The record is from RefSeq and is a predicted model, not a curated record.
GUGGGUCUAGGGUAUCUCUGAUGUCUCUCUGGAAGGCAACUCGUGCCCUAAUUUCAUCCACCUUGUUGUCUAGAGAUUGGACAUUGUAAUAUGCUCGGAAGCGGUGGAUGGUGUGCUCGCCUUCUGAGUCUGACCAGUUGGCCGUUCCGUCUUCCUCUCCUGCCGCGACCGCAUUUUUUUAGGUCGGCCGCUGGGAUAAGAUCGCAUGUCCAGGGUGGAGGUCCGAACAAAGGAUCCGCUUCAGAAAAGACUGAUCCCUGGUCGUAAUGAUGCAUCUUCUUCAAAAGAGAAGCAUCCUCUACAACUCAGUAUCCUCCGUGUCCCAGUGUGUUUGUGAAUGAAGCUCCAGAGAGAAGAGUGUUCCAAACUAGAGUUGCAAUCCAGCAGGAUUCUACUGGAAGUCUCCCUUACUCAUACUGACGUGAGAUCAGAGGAGCCCCAGCCAUGAAUACAACCUCCAAUAGGAGAUAGAAACACACAGAAAGAGACAAAAACACACUUUACGACUCACAGUUAGGACGUGUGUUAACAUUUAGAGAUAAAAUGUAUCUCAUAACUGACUUUAGUUGUGAAUACAAAAACAUAAAAGCCUUACUUGUUUUGUUUUCAAAUUCAAAUAUUGAUUCAAUGUUUAGGACCUAUCAGGGUUGCGGUCAAAUGUAUUUUUAUGUAUUAAAUUCAACACUUCUAUUCAUUUACGUUUUAUAAUAAAAUUAAAAUAAUUCA